CCUACGGGAGGCAGCAGUGAGGAAUAUUGGUCAAUGGGCGUAAGCCUGAACCAGCCAAGUCGCGUGAGGGAUGAAGGUUCUAUGGAUUGUAAACUUCUUUUAUAAGGGAAUAAAGUGCGGGACGUGUCCCGUGUUGUAUGUACCUUAUGAAUAAGGAUCGGCUAACUCCGUGCCAGCAGCCGCGGUAAUACGGAGGAUGCGAGCGUUAUCCGGAUUUAUUGGGUUUAAAGGGUGCGUAGGCGGCCUGUUAAGUCAGCGGUGAAAGUUUGUGGCUCAACCAUAGAACUGCCGUUGAAACUGGGUGGCUAGAGUAUGUUAGAGGCAGGCGGAAUGCGUGGUGUAGCGGUGAAAUGCAUAGAUAUCACGAAGAACUCCGAUUGCGAAGGCAGCAUGCCGGGCCAAGACUGACGCUGAUGCACGAAAGCGUGGGGAUCAAACAGGAUUAGAUACCCGAGUAGUC
This 460-nucleotide ribosomal RNA is filed under the name uncultured bacterium. Its description in RNAcentral is "partial 16S ribosomal RNA". It matches the Rfam family "Bacterial small subunit ribosomal RNA", at positions 338 to 795 of the family's 1533-position model. The record is from RNAcentral.